GUGAGGCUGCAGCUGACUGUGGCGGAGAUUGUCACACAGGGGCUUCCAGGAACAUUCCAGGUGGAGGUCAGAGACCCCGGCCAGCAUGUCCUAACUGCAGGGAGUGGCACCUGUGUUCAGAAGGACUUGGUGACCAGGUAAAGUUCUCAUUCAGCGUGUAGCCCUGGCCUCCUGCAGAUCCUCAGGCAUCUGGCCCCUAAACCAAUAGAAUGGAGGUUUCAGCCAGAACUUGGGACAGAGGAAACUGUCACCCAUAGUCCCCAUUCAUGCAGGGUAAUUAAUCGGCUGGCAGCAGCCGACAGAGACAUUCAAGAGAGUUCCAUAACCUCGAAAGGAGCAUCAGGGUCAGGAAGUCUGGGGAGCAGCAGAGCCUGAGAUAAGGCAGCAUCCUACCUGCAUCUGAAUCCCAGCCCUGUCAAUCACGCCCUGUGUGAACUUGCACAAGCUCCUGAGCUGUGCUGCCUCCCAGUUUUGUCAUCUGUGUGAUGGGGAUACAAUUGUUAGCUCAUUGCAUUGGAGGGGGACCGGAGGACCCAAUGUCUGUCAAGCACUAAAGCACUGCCCAGGGUCCCCCAUGUCAUGGUGGGUGCCACAGCGUCUGUCUCCGGGUAGGGGACUGCCAGAAGCAGGACUGGGGAAUGAUAGCCGGCACAGCCGGCUAUGAGCAGGGACACUGAAGGGCAGAGUCAAGGCUGACUCCACACAUGGGGCUGUGCCCCGUGCGGUUCCUGCCAACACCCACAGAUGAACUGGUGGCAACAAGAGCAAGAGUCGGGGCUCACUGCCAUAGGGAUCAAGAGAUCAGGAGGCUCAAGACCAGAAAGUGUUCUCCAGCGGGAGCUUCCAUCACUCCUGAGAAAAGGACAUGGGCUAAACACAAAUUCCAGGGCAGAGACUGAUCACCCAGCCGCCCUGUGUCUCCUUCAGCACCCGUGAUGAUGCCACACUUCAGAAAGCAAAGGGCCCUCAGCCCCUGGCUCUCCCCAACUGCUCUCACCUCUUCGCCCCCUCCCUGGAAAUGCACCCCGCAACCCAGGGCGGAGGUACAGGCUGAUCAGGGAGGGUCCCUGGAACUGCUGCCAAAAAUACCGUCCUUACCCAUCUAGGAGAACUCCUCCCAGCUUCCCUGUGCUCUCUGCUCUGAGAAAAUAUCGGAGCUGAAGCGGAUGAAGCUGUGGCCGCAGCCAAAACAGUGAUCGUGUCAGAGGCGG
Molecule: long non-coding RNA, 1211 nt
Filed under: Macaca mulatta (Rhesus monkey)
Lineage: Eukaryota; Metazoa; Chordata; Mammalia; Primates; Cercopithecidae
Description: lncRNA (ENSMMUG00000062696.1)
Source: RNAcentral